GACGGAGGGUGCUAGCGUUGUUCGGAAUCGCUGGGCGUAAAGGGCGCGUAGGCGGCCUCAGGUGUCGGAUGUGAAAGCCCGGGGCUCAACCCCGGAGGUGCAUCCGAAACUCUGGGGCUGGAGGUCGGAAGAGGAGGGUGGAAUACCCAGUGUAGAGGUGAAAUUCGUAGAUAUUGGGUGGAACACCGGUGGCGAAAGCGGCUCUCUGGUCCGGACCUGACGCUGAGGCGCGAAAGCGUGGGGAGCAAACAGG
RNAcentral lists this ribosomal RNA (253 nucleotides) under uncultured bacterium. Its description in RNAcentral is "partial 16S ribosomal RNA". It matches the Rfam family "Bacterial small subunit ribosomal RNA", at positions 524 to 776 of the family's 1533-position model. The record is from RNAcentral.